CCUACGGGAGGCAGCAGUGAGGAAUAUUGGUCAAUGGGCGGGAGCCUGAACCAGCCAAGCCGCGUGAGGGAAGAAGGUACAGCGUAUCGUAAACCUCUUUUGUCAGGGAACAAAGGCGGGGACUAGUCCCCGGAUGAGGGUACCUGAAGAAAAAGCCUCGGCAAACUCCGUGCCAGCAGCCGCGGUAAUACGGAGGAUGCGGGCGUUAACCGGAUUUAUUGGGGUUAAGGGGUGCGCAGGCGGCCUGUUAAGUCAGCGGGAAAAGCCCGGGGUUCAACCCCGGCGAGCCGUUGAAACUGGCGGGCGGGAGUUGGAGAGAAGUACGCGGAAUGCGCGGUGUAGCGGUGAAAUGCUUAGAGAUCGCGCAGAACACCGAUUGCGAAGGCAGCGUACCGGCUCCACACUGACGCUGAGGCACGAAAGCGUGGGUAUCGAACAGGAUUAGAUACCCUUGUAGUC
This 459-nucleotide ribosomal RNA is filed under the name uncultured bacterium. RNAcentral describes it as "partial 16S ribosomal RNA". It matches the Rfam family "Bacterial small subunit ribosomal RNA", at positions 338 to 795 of the family's 1533-position model. The record is from RNAcentral.